GAAGGCCAUAGCCUAGUGGUUAUGCGUGUGAGCGGAGGAGCUGCUGACCCGGGUUCGAGUCCCGUUGUCUUCC
RNAcentral lists this transfer RNA (73 nucleotides) under Helianthus annuus (common sunflower). RNAcentral describes it as "tRNA-OTHER". The record is from RNAcentral. Lineage: Eukaryota; Viridiplantae; Streptophyta; Magnoliopsida; Asterales; Asteraceae.